Molecule: long non-coding RNA, 1091 nt
Organism: Papaver somniferum (opium poppy)
Lineage: Eukaryota; Viridiplantae; Streptophyta; Magnoliopsida; Ranunculales; Papaveraceae
Exons: 4
Source: RefSeq, a predicted model, not a curated record
GGAUACACAGAGAAAAGAAACUCCGCUACAUUUUUACUCUCCUCUUCGUUUCUUCUCGGACCAAAAACCAAACCACAGAACAUAAACGAUUUCUUCUUCUUCGUUUCCUCUCGAAUCCCUGAAUCUAUGUUUCAUUUCCAAUUUUCUAUGUAAUUCAUUCCGUUCUCAAACAAAAACGAAGCAAAAUAAAGAACUAGGGAUUCUGAUUUUUGAUUUUUGAUUUUUCUUUUGUCCAAUUGGGUAUUUUUAGGUCAUCCAUGAAAAUGGUGGAAUCAGAUGAAGAAGAUAACUCCAACAAACUUGGGCGAAACCUCUCUAAGAAUAAAUGAUAUGAAAGAUCUUUUCAACAAGCUGGACACAAGUAAACUGAAUGCUCAUCUCAAAGUAAUCAUGCCAGGCCUCCCAACCGUGAUUAAUGGCAGUUAAAAUAUCACAACCAAAGGAGGUUGCAGAACUAUUUCGCAAAUCCCAUCCUGCCCAAAUGUUAAGUUGAAUGAAGAAGUUUAAACGAAACUCCAAUUUCAGAAGUCCAAUGUGUCGUUUUCUUUUGAACCGAAUAACCGAUGUUACCAGUGCAUACUGCAAGGUUGCAGAACUAUUUCGCAAAUCCCAAACUUUGAAUGAAGAAGUUUGAACGAAACUCCAAUUUCAGAAGUCCAAUGUGUCGUUUUCUUUUGAACCGAAUAACUGAUGUUACCAGUGCAUACUGCAAGGUGGCUUAAUGAUCGUGUAAGCUCGAAUUCAGUAGUGGAUUGGUACCACAACGAAUGAAGGCCAACAAUCCUUGCUCUUCUUCGACAAAUGGAUGACAGUUAACAACCCAAUUGAUUGAAGUUGUAUAACUUUUCAUGUAAGUUGUAUGGCACAAGCCUUGAUAAAAAUGGAUGGGUUCGCUUCAAUUUCUUGACUUCUACAUUCAGUUGCGUCGAACUGGCGCCUUGGAAGUGGAACUGUCCUUGUUAGGAUUAAUACCUUAGAAUUAACCUCUUCACAAGACACUAGUUCUUUGGAUCACGUAGAACUAAAGAAAACAGAAAAUAAGAUGUACUAAACGAAACAAUAAAGACACAAGAUUUAACGUGGUUCGGCAA